This 685-nucleotide ribosomal RNA is filed under the name Aspergillus versicolor. Its description in RNAcentral is "SSU rRNA". It matches the Rfam family "Eukaryotic small subunit ribosomal RNA", at positions 199 to 895 of the family's 1831-position model. The record is from RNAcentral. Lineage: Eukaryota; Fungi; Ascomycota; Eurotiomycetes; Eurotiales; Aspergillaceae.
GGGUGUAUUUAUUAAAUAAAAAACCAAUGCCCCUCGGGGCUCCUUGGUGAAUCAUAAUAACUUAACGAAUCGCAUGGCCUUGCGCCGGCGAUGGUUCAUUCAAAUUUCUGCCCUAUCAACUUUCGAUGGUAGGAUAGUGGCCUACCAUGGUGGCAACGGGUAACGGGGAAUUAGGGUUCGAUUCCGGAGAGGGAGCCUGAGAAACGGCUACCACAUCCAAGGAAGGCAGCAGGCGCGCAAAUUACCCAAUCCCGACACGGGGAGGUAGUGACAAUAAAUACUGAUACGGGGCUCUUUUGGGUCUCGUAAUUGGAAUGAGUACAAUCUAAAUCCCUUAACGAGGAACAAUUGGAGGGCAAGUCUGGUGCCAGCAGCCGCGGUAAUUCCAGCUCCAAUAGCGUAUAUUAAAGUUGUUGCAGUUAAAAAGCUCGUAGUUGAACCUUGGGUCUGGCUGGCCGGUCCGCCUCACCGCGAGUACUGGUCCGGCUGGACCUUUCCUUCUGGGGAAUCCCAUGGCCUUCACUGGCUGUGGGUGGAACCAGGACUUUUACUGUGAAAAAAUUAGAGUGUUCAAAGCAGCCUUUGCUCGAAUACAUUAGCAUGGAAUAAUAGAAUAGGACGUGCGGUUCUAUUUUGUUGGUUUCUAGACCGCCGUAAUGAUUAUAGGAUAGUCGGGGGCGUCAGU